GUGCUUGCUUCGGCAGCACAUAUACUACAGUUGAAACAAUACAGAAAAGAUUAGCAUAGCCCCUGCACAAAGAUGAUACACAUUCGUGAAGUGUUCCAUAUUUUU
Hemicordylus capensis (graceful crag lizard) is the source of this 105-nucleotide small nuclear RNA. Lineage: Eukaryota; Metazoa; Chordata; Lepidosauria; Squamata; Cordylidae. The record is from RefSeq and is a predicted model, not a curated record.